RNAcentral lists this ribosomal RNA (283 nucleotides) under bacterium. RNAcentral's name for it is "partial 16S ribosomal RNA". It matches the Rfam family "Bacterial small subunit ribosomal RNA", at positions 355 to 630 of the family's 1533-position model. The record is from RNAcentral.
UGGGGAAUAUUGCACAAUGGGCGCAAGCCUGAUGCAGCCAUGCCGCGUGUAUGAAGAAGGCCUUCGGGUUGUAAAGUACUUUCAGCGGGGAGGAAGGCGAUGCGGUUAAUAACCGCGUCGAUUGACGUUACCCGCAGAAGAAGCACCGGCUAACUCCGUGCCAGCAGCCGCGGUAAUACGGAGGGUGCAAGCGUUAAUCGGAAUUACUGGGCGUAAAGCGCACGCAGGCGGUCUGUCAAGUCGGAUGUGAAAUCCCCGGGCUCAACCUGGGAACUGCAUCCGA